CGAAUACCGGAAGUAGUCGGGUCUUAUCGGAUUGAUCCCGGCUGCCUGGGUGUUCCAGGAAAUAGCCCCAGCAUAAGACCGUACCCCAAACCGACACAGGUGGGUAGGUAGAGUAUACUAAGGGGCGCGAGAUAACUCUCUCUAAGGAACUCGGCAAAAUGACUCCGUAACUUCGGGAGAAGGAGUGCCUUAUUUAUAAGGUUGCAAUAACAAGAUCCAAGCAACUGUUUAUCAAAAACACAGGUCUCCGCUAAGUCGUAAGACGAUGUAUGGGGGCUGACGCCUGCCCAGUGCCAGAAGGUUAAAGAAGUUGGUUAGUGUAUGCGAAGCUGAUGACUGAAGCCCUGGUGAACGGCGGCCGUAACAAUAACGGUCCUAAGGUAGCGAAAUUCCUUGUCGGGUAAGUUCCGACCCGCACGAAAGGCGUAAUGAUUUGGAUACUGUCUCGGAGAGAGGCUCGGUGAAAUAGACUUGUCUGUGAAGAUGCGGACUACCUGCACCAGGACAGAAAGACCCUAUGAAGCUUUACUGUAACUUGAAAUUGGAAUUGGACUUUGCUUGCGCAGUAUAGGUGGGAAGCGUUGAAGAUAUUCUUGCGGGAGUAUUGGAGCUAUCAGUGAGAUACCACUCUUGUAAUGUUAGAUUUCUAACUUUGAACCAUAAUCUGGUCAAAGAACAGUUUCAGGUGGGCAGUUUGACUGGGGCGGUCGCCUCCCAAAUGGUAACGGUGGCGUACAAAGGUUUCCUCUGAACGGAUAGAAAUCGUAUCUAGAGUGUAAAGGCAUAAGGAAGCUUGACUGUGAGACCUACAAGUCGAGCAGGGACGAAAGUCGGUCUUAGUGAUCUGACGGUACUGAGUGGAAAGGCCGUCACUCAACGGAUAAAAGUUACUCUAGGAUAACAGGCUGAUCUCCCCCAAGAGUUCACAUCGACGGGGAGGUUUGGCACCUCGAUGUCGGCUCAUCGCAUCCUGGGGCGGUAGUACGUCCCAAGGGUUGGGCUGUUCGCCCAUGAAAGCGGUACGCGAGCUGGGUUCAGAACGUCGUGAGACAGUUCGGUCCAUAUCCGGUGUAGGCGUUAGAAUGUUGAGAGGAGCCUUCUUUAGUACGAGAGGACCGAGAAGGACACACCGCUGGUGUACCAGUUAUCGUGCCAACGGUAAACGCUGGGUAGCUAUGUGUGGAGUGGAUAACCGCUGAAAGCAUCUAAGUGGGAAGCCCACCUCAAGAUGAGUAUUCU
RNAcentral lists this ribosomal RNA (1239 nucleotides) under metagenome. RNAcentral's name for it is "bacterial LSU rRNA". It matches the Rfam family "Bacterial large subunit ribosomal RNA", at positions 1557 to 2814 of the family's 2925-position model. The record is from RNAcentral.